CCCCAGACUCCUACGGGAGGCAGCAGUGGGGGAUAUUGCACAAUGGGGGGAACCCUGAUGCAGCGACGCCGCGUGGGUGAAGAAGCGCCUCGGCGCGUAAAGCCCUGUCAGCAGGGAAGAAAAUGACGGUACCUGAAGAAGAAGCCCCGGCUAACUACGUGCCAGCAGCCGCGGUAAUACGUAGGUGGCAAGCGUUAUCCGGAUUCACUGGGCGUAAAGGGAGCGUAGACGGCCAUGCAAGCCUGGAGUGAAAGCCCGGGGCCCAACCCCGGGACUGCUCUGGGAACUGUGCGGCUGGAGUGCGGGAGGGGCAGGCGGAAUUCCUGGUGUAGCGGUGAAAUGCGUAGAUAUCAGGAGGAACACCGGCGGCGAAGGCGGCCUGCUGGACCGCGACUGACGUUGAGGCUCGAAAGCGUGGGGAGCAAACAGGAUUAGAUACCCGGGUA
Molecule: ribosomal RNA, 446 nt
Filed under: uncultured bacterium
Lineage: Bacteria
Description: bacterial SSU rRNA
Rfam family: Bacterial small subunit ribosomal RNA
Source: RNAcentral